GACCCCGUGAACCUUUACUAUAGCUUGACACUGAACAUUGAGCCUUGAUGUGUAGGAUAGGUGGGAGGCUUUGAAGCGUGGACGCCAGUCUGCGUGGAGCCGACCUUGAAAUACCACCCUUUAAUGUUUGAUGUUCUAACGUGGACCCGUGAUCCGGGUUGCGGACAGUGUCUGGUGGGUAGUUUGACUGGGGCGGUCUCCUCCUAAAGAGUAACGGAGGAGCACGAAGGUUGGCUAAUCCUGGUCGGACAUCAGGAGGUUAGUGCAAUGGCAUAAGCCAGCUUGACUGCGAGCGUGACGGCGCGAGCAGGUGCGAAAGCAGGUCAUAGUGAUCCGGUGGUUCUGAAUGGAAGGGCCAUCGCUCAACGGAUAAAAGGUACUCCGGGGAUAACAGGCUGAUACCGCCCAAGAGUUCAUAUCGACGGCGGUGUUUGGCACCUCGAUGUCGGCUCAUCACAUCCUGGGGCUGAAGUAGGUCCCAAGGGUAUGGCUGUUCGCCAUUUAAAGUGGUACGCGAGCUGGGUUUAGAACGUCGUGAGACAGUUCGGUCCCUAUCUGCCGUGGGCGCUGGAGAACUGAGGGGGGCUGCUCCUAGUACGAGAGGACCGGAGUGGACGCAUCACUGGUGUUCGGGUUGUCAUGCC
Molecule: ribosomal RNA, 644 nt
Filed under: Salmonella enterica subsp. enterica serovar Stanley
Lineage: Bacteria; Pseudomonadati; Pseudomonadota; Gammaproteobacteria; Enterobacterales; Enterobacteriaceae
Description: partial 23S ribosomal RNA
Rfam family: Bacterial large subunit ribosomal RNA
Source: RNAcentral